RNAcentral lists this ribosomal RNA (253 nucleotides) under uncultured bacterium. Its description in RNAcentral is "partial 16S ribosomal RNA". It matches the Rfam family "Bacterial small subunit ribosomal RNA", at positions 524 to 776 of the family's 1533-position model. The record is from RNAcentral.
UACGGAGGGUGCGAGCGUUAAUCGGAAUUACUGGGCGUAAAGGGUGCGUAGGUGGUUAAAUAAGUUAUGUGUAAAAUCCCUGGGCUCAACCUGGGCAGGUCAUAUAAUACUGUUUAACUUGAGUAUGGGAGAGGGUAGUGGAAUUUCCGGUGUAGCGGUGAAAUGCGUAGAGAUCGGAAGGAACACCAGUGGCGAAGGCGGCUACCUGGCCUAAUACUGACACUGAGGCACGAAAGCAUGGGGAGCAAACAGG